GAUGAACGCUGGCGGUGUGCCUAAUACAUGCAAGUCGAGCGAACAGACGAGGAGCUUGCUCCUCUGACGUUAGCGGCGGACGGGUGAGUAACACGUGGAUAACCUACCUAUAAGACUGGGAUAACUUCGGGAAACCGGAGCUAAUACCGGAUAAUAUAUUGAACCGCAUGGUUCAAUAGUGAAAGUCGGUUUUGCUGUCACUUAUAGAUGGAUCCGCGCCGCAUUAGCUAGUUGGUAAGGUAACGGCUUACCAAGGCAACGAUGCGUAGCCGACCUGAGAGGGUGAUCGGCCACACUGGAACUGAGACACGGUCCAGACUCCUACGGGAGGCAGCAGUAGGGAAUCUUCCGCAAUGGGCGAAAGCCUGACGGAGCAACGCCGCGUGAGUGAUGAAGGUCUUCGGAUCGUAAAACUCUGUUAUUAGGGAAGAACAAAUGUGUAAGUAACUAUGCACGUCUUGACGGUACCUAAUCAGAAAGCCACGGCUAACUACGUG
This 497-nucleotide ribosomal RNA is filed under the name uncultured bacterium. RNAcentral's name for it is "partial 16S ribosomal RNA". It matches the Rfam family "Bacterial small subunit ribosomal RNA", at positions 28 to 507 of the family's 1533-position model. The record is from RNAcentral.